Molecule: long non-coding RNA, 819 nt
Organism: Anastrepha obliqua
Lineage: Eukaryota; Metazoa; Arthropoda; Insecta; Diptera; Tephritidae
Exons: 4
Source: RefSeq, a predicted model, not a curated record
CAAUACAAAGGAUUAUCAAUAAUAGAAGUGGCAGUAAUGGUAUAGAAGAAAACAGUUAAAUUGCAAACAGUUGGGUCAUAUGUUUUUAUUGCAACAAUAGCACAAACGGAAGUGCAUACAAUUUUGAAGCAUACGUAAGAGUUUGAGUGAAUGAAUGGCAAUCUGCUACUGAUGAAGCUGGAAGUACCUAUAGCAUUGGACAGCACGAAGAUUAAACCUUUCAUAACAGCAUUGACUGCUUGUCAAUUUUGUGAACGCGUAGAUUAAUUUCUUGGAUUUAUUGGCAAUUAAUGCAUAUGUGAACGUACUUUUAGGCUUACUUCUCUUGACGAAAACUGUUUCUGCUUCAAAGAAAAGUACAUGGACAUAUUCUGUACAUAUACUGGCAAUGCACUAUAGUUUAAUGUUAGCUUUUCGAGACGAUAGCAAGGAAUGUGGGAAACUACUACGAAAACAGCAGAACAAAUAUAUGUGCAGUUACAUAUGUACAUACGUAUAUACUCGGAAAUAAUGCUAUAGUGGCCUUGCCAUGUAGAAAAGCAUCGAUGUUACUUCUUAGUAUCACCAUAGGCAGCUUUACCACAAUCGAGUGCCACACGUCGAAAUAAUAAAAAGAAAUAAUUGUAAACAAAUCGGAAAAGUGCCAAUUAUAGUUCCACCAAUAUUUACAAGCACACAUACAUGGGUAUGUACAACGGAACUUUCUGUCUUCAGGACAAAAUAUGAUUGGUACCUUAUUGUUGACUCUGCGUGGAACAGAAAAACAGACCCAAGCAAACAAAAACUCGUUUUUCACAAUUUUUCACAUAACCGCAAACU